AACCCUAAAAAGUCCCUCGAGCACAAAAGUUUGGUCCUAGCUUUAAAGUCAGCUUUUUCUUAAUUUAUACAUGCAAGUCUCCCCGCCCCCGUGAGGACCCAUUACCCUCUUAAGAGGCUUAAUGGGAUUGGUCUCAGGCGCAACAGUCAGCCCAAAACACCUAACUACAUGUCACACCCACAAGGGUUACAGCAGUGAUUAAUAUUGAAUAUGAGUGCCAACUCGACUCAGUCAAAGCAAACAGGGCCGGCCAAGCUGGUGCCAGCAGCCGCGGCUACACCAGAGGCCCAAGUUGACCCCUAUCGGCGUAGAGCGUGGUUAAAGAUUCAUAAAAUUGGAGUCAAAUGCUAACUGAGCAGUAACAUGCCUGUUUUCGAGAAGCCUACAAACGAAAGUUACUCCAAUUACCAUAACUUGAACCCACGAUAGCCGGAACACAAACUAGGAUUAGAUACCCUACUAUGUCCGGCCUUAAACCUUAAAUUACACCUUUAC
Molecule: ribosomal RNA, 495 nt
Filed under: Ischnocnema sp. 3 CC-2012
Lineage: Eukaryota; Metazoa; Chordata; Amphibia; Anura; Brachycephalidae
Description: partial 12S ribosomal RNA
Source: RNAcentral